CAGUUAUGUCUAGAACUCCCAGAUCAUUUGUAACCCUAAUAAGUGCUUUCACUGCCAUAGUAUUGUUCAACGUUGAUAAUAACAAUAUAAGCACCCGUAGUGUGGAAACACUUCUAGCAAAUAAAGACAUUGUUAUCUUCGAUCUGCUAUUGCUUUUCCUUUUUCUUUUACUGUGAAUCUUUUCAUUACUUUAUAUAUAUAUAUACACUACGAGUAAAAAUAUUGAAGGAGAAAUGUAUAAUAUUCAAAGAGGUUUUUAAUUAAAAAUAUAUAAAUAUAUUAAUUUUCGGUUGAAUUACUUUUUUAUCCCUUAAUUAAUUUAUCAGGGUUUUUUUUGAAAAAAAUAUCAAUUAUUGUAAAAAAUAUCAAUUAAGGAUCAUUUACUGUUAUUAUAUAUAUAUAUAUAUAUAUAUAUAUAUAUAUAUAUAUAUAUAUAUAUAUAUAUAUAUAUAUAUAUAUAUAUAUAUAUAUAUAUAUAUAUAUAUAUAUAUAUAUAUAUAUAUAUAUAUAUAUAUAUAUAUAUAUAUAUAUAUAUAUAUAUAUACAUACUUCCCAGUAAUUUUCCAAAUAACUCCUGCAAGUUUACAUAUCAUUCACCAUUUCCAAAAUAUCCUUAAUUAGGAAUACCUAUCCCAAAUAUCACUAUAAUUUCGGUGAUCAUGUUGAUUAUAAUCUCAAAAUCGGUUAGAGCAGUACAAAUCUUACAAUAUUUUUUUAAAAGGCUACAAAUCUUACAAUAUUUUUAAAAGGUUUUAAAAGUAUUAAUGGGAAAUGAAUCACUAGCUAGUAAGUUUUAUUAAAAAUAUGUUCGAAUUAUAUUUAAAAAAAUGAUAGAUAUUCUUUUAUAAAAAUAUUAUUUUUAUUUUUUAAUCAGUUUUUUCAAAGAUAUUUACUAACAUUCUUCCUUAUUAAUUUAGUUAUAAAUACCUUUGAAUGACAUUUUCCCUCCAAAAAAUAUCUUUGAAUGACAUUAAUUUUUUCAUUAUUUUUAAAAUUGUUGUAAAGGUUGAAUAUGAGCUGUUUUUCAAAAUAUCGUUGAAUGUAAUUAAUAUUUUUCUUUCUUUCAACAAAUGAAGGUUGAAUGAGUUUUAUUUUUCAUUUCACAUCAUAUUUAUAUAUUUUAACGAUAAAGAUCAAAAUCCAUUUUUGCAUUCUGAUGUUUUGUUCUUCUCGUUAAAAGCAACUUUAGUAUUUUUUAGGUCAUAAACCAUGAAUGUCUUUUAAUUCUCCAAAUAAAAAAUUAAUCAUGUCUAGCACUUUUAAAUAAAUCAUUCUUAACAUAAUUUUACAUCACUAUACUAAUCUUACUUGUUAAAAUAAUUUUUGUCUUUAUUAUCAAGUACUAGUAUUAACUAACAACAUGAUAUUUAUGUUUAAAAUAAUUGUAGAGUUUUAAGUCAAAAGAUAAGGUACAUAUAUAUAAGAAAUUAAUUUUUAUUAUUAAGAUUUAGGUGGCUUAAAUGCAAAGUGAAAGAUUAAAUUUUAUUAGAUGAACUCAAUUAAAUGAAUGUAUUGGAAAUUAUUUUUAUUUUAACUUCUAAAAAAACUUAUUUAAUAUAAUUGGUGACAAUCUUCACUAUAAAUAGAGAAGAAAUUUAUUGAAGAAACAACACAUUUAAAGAGAAUGUGAGAAGAAAGAGUGUGAAAUAAAGUAUUCUGUUGAAAGAAAAAUGAUCUUAUGUGAGAGUAUUAUCAUUUCUUGUAACUAUAAAGUGGGAUACUCGAAUUCUAUUUUGGGAUGGGUUAAAUUCUUGUAAUUAUUUUUGUGAUAGUGAAACUUUUUGAGACGAUUAUGUAGACAUAUUCAAGAGAUGUUGAAUCAUGUUAAAUUAUUGUAUUUAUUAUUAUUUUUUUACGAUGUAUUCUUUGUUGUGUUCUCAGGAUUUUGUAUGAAUGUACGUAAUUUUGUCUGUUAGAAGGUUGAACCACAUUAAAAAAUAAUAAAGACAUUGUUAUCUUCGAUCUGCUAUUGCUUUUCCUUUUUCUUUUACUGUGAAUCUUUUCAUUACUUUAUAUAUAUAUAUAUACACUACGAGUAAAAAUAUUGAAGGAGAAAUGUAUAAUAUUCAAAGAGGUUUUUAAUUAAAAAUAUAUAAAUAUAUUAAUUUUCGGUUGAAUUACUUUUUUAUCCCUUAGUUAAUUUAUCAGGGUUUUUUUUGAAAAAAAAUCAAUUAUUGUAAAAAAAUAUCAAUUAAGGAUCAUUUACUGUUAUUAUAUAUAUAUAUAUAUAUAUAUAUAUAUAUAUAUAUAUAUAUAUAUAUAUAUAUACUUCGCAGUAAUUUUCCAAAUAACUCCUACAAGUUUACAUAUCAUUCACCAUUUCCAAAAUAUCCUUAAUUAGGAAUACCUAUCCCAAAUAUCACUAUAAUUUCGGUGAUCAUGUUGAUUAUAAUCUCAAAAUCGGUUAGAGCAGUACAAAUCUUACAAUAUUUUUUUAAAAGGCUACAAAUCUUACAAUAUUUUUAAAAGGUUUUAAAAGUAUUAAUGGGAAAUGAAUCACUAGCUAGUAAGUUUUAUUAAAAAUAUGUUCGAAUUAUAUUUAAAAAAAUGAUAGAUAUUCUUUUAUAAAAAUAUUAUUUUUAUUUUUUAAUCAGUUUUUUCAAAGAUAUUUACUAACAUUCUUCCUUAUUAAUUUAGUUAUAAAUACCUUUGAAUGACAUUUUCCCUCCAAAAAAUAUCUUUGAAUGACAUUAAUUUUUUCAUUAUUUUUAAAAAUUGUUGUAAAGGUUGAAUAUGAGCUGUUUUUCAAAAUAUCGUUGAAUGUAAUUAAUAUUUUUCUUUAUUUUAAUAAAUGAAGGUUGAAUGAGUUUUAUUUUUCAUCUCACAUCAUAUUUAUAUAUUUUAACGAUAAAGAUCAAAAUCCAUUUUUGCAUUCUGAUGCUUUGUUCUUCUCGUUAAAAGCAAUUUUAGUAUUUUUUAGGUCAUAAACCAUGAAUGUCUUUUAAUUCACCAAAUCAAAAAUUAAUCAUGUCUAGCACUUUUAAAUAAAUCAUUCUUAACAUAAUUUUACAUCAUUAUACUAAUCUUACUUGUUAAAAUAAUUUUAGUCUUUAUUAUCAAGUACUAAUGUUAACUAACAACAUGCUAUUUAUGUUUAAAAUAAUUGUAGAGUUUUAAUUAAAUCAAAAGAUAAGGUGCGUAUAUAUAUAAGAAAUUAAUUUUUAUCAUUAAGGUUUAGGUGACUUAAAUGUAAAGUGAAAGAUUAAAUUUUUCUAGAUAAACUUAGUUAAAUGAAUGCAUUGAAAAUUAUUUUUAUUUCAAAUUCCAAAAAAAUUUAUUUAAUAUAAUUGGUGACAAUCUUUACUAUAAAUAGAAAAGAAAUUUAGUGAAGAAACAACACAUGUAAAGAAAGUGUGAGAAGAAAGAUUCGGAAAUAAAAUAUUAUGUUGAAAGAAAAAUGCAUUUACGUGAGAAUGUUAUCAUUUCUUGUAAUCAUAAAGUGGGAUACUCGAGUUCUAUUUUGGGGUGAGUUACAUUCUUAUAAUUAUUUUUGUGAUAGUGAAACUUUUUGAGACGAUUAUGUAAACGUAGUCAAGAGAUGUUGAAUCACAUUUUCUUGUAUUUAUUAUUAUUUUUUACGGUAUGAUUUUUAUUGUGUUCUCAUAAUCUUUUAUGAAUGUGCGUAAUUUUAUCUGUUAGAAGGUUGAACCAUAUUAAAAAAUAAUAAUUCUAUAUCCAUAGGAAAAAAAAAGAAAAAAAAAGUCAUUCAACUAGCUAGCUACGCAAACCUUUAUUUAUCAUGAAAUUUUCAUUCUUCCCUAAUAUCACGAAACAUACUCAAUUUUAUAAUGAAAUCAAGAGCAAUUCUCUAGCAUACAGAAAGCUUGAACUCAAUUUUCAAAGCAAUGAUGAAUAAUGUUAAGCCAAACAGCAAUCACUCUUUUAUUUAGAAGACAUAAGAGGAAAAUAUUUGGCUACAACUAAGUUCUCAACCCUACAUGCAUGUAGGAUUUAAGAACAUAUGUUAAGAUAAAAACAUAUUUUAAAACCAAUUAUAGCAAGCAAAUUCUCUGUUGGGAAAACGAAAUCUACAUGGUCCCUUUUCUCCUAUAUGCCAAUUGCACUCUUCGCAAUCAGAAUCUCGAGUUGGAUCGUACAUAUUAAAGGUGUGAGCAGCACCUUCCCAUGCAAAGAAGCAAAGCAAUGGUCUGUGUGUAGGUGUAAUAUCACCAGAAUAAAUCCAUUCAUAUUGAUAACCAGGGCGAAGAUGAAUAUACGGUGGCUUUGUAGGAUCAAAAUAGGGACAAGAAAUGGUUAAAUUCAAACUUCCAUUAUCCAAAGUAUUUGUAGCUACAACAAUUAUCUGGUACACCACCACAGCAUUGCUUGUUGGUGACAAAAAAAGGAUAAACACCCAUAGUAAUGAUAGUAUGGAAACGCUUCUGGUAAAGAAAGACAUAAUCCUUUUUCUUGAAGAUAUUAAGAUAAAUGUGUCUGUGAGAGGUUUUUAUAGUUAAAAUACAUGAUGAGAUUCGAAAGAAAACAAAAAAAAAACUAUUCAACGUUUACAUUUGUUACAAUAUAGAAAAAAGUUAAUGUAUUCUUUUAAAAACAACUCAUUACCUUUACAGCAGAUUUAAAAAUAAAGAAAAAUUAAUGCCGUUCAAAGAUAUUUCAUGAUAUAUUUUGAAAAAUUAAUUGUUAUUUUGACUUUUUUAAUAAGAUCUUAUAAAAUAAUUCAAAAUUGUUUCUUCAAUAUAUGUAAUUAAAUCAAUAAAUAUUUAUGUUCUUAAUACUCCAUAAUAUUCUCAUGACAUAUUUUAAUAUAAUAGACAAAUUUGUUAAGAUAAUUAAAUCAAUUUUCUCACAACAACAAACCAGUGACUCUGGUAGGUAAGGCUUCUACCAAUUCAUCUCAUGCUUUUUAUUCUCAAUUUUGUCGCUAUAUGUUUAUGAAUGCUAUUGAAUCCUUUCACUCUGUCACUUUACUGUCUGCGAAUGAUGCCACCGAUGCUGACCCACUUCCAUUGACCGAGGACACUCCUUCAUCAGUUUGCUCAGUUGUUCACCAAAACAUCUUUUCAGGCAACCAUGAAUGAUAUUUUGAGGCCAUUCUUGUGCAAAUUAAUCCUUGUAUUCUGUGAUAAUAUUCUGAUAUAGCCUUCAUUGGCACACCCAUUUUUAUCUCAAAUAUGCCAAAUGUGACUUUGGUAUUUACACAGUAGCAUACUUGGGGCAUAUCAUAUCUCAGUCUGGCGUUGCAGCUGACCCAGAGAAGCUUUUGGGGUAUGAAUAUGAAAUCCUUUACACUUUGGGGCGUGCCAAUGCAUUAUCACGUGAUGGAUGAUGGCACAGGAUGUCAAGACAUUUGUGCAAGUCAAAAUAUUAAAUAAAAUUAAAAAUAAAAACAAACUAAAUUUAUUAAUAAUUAAUAAUAAAAAAUGUGUUUAUGAUUUUGAACUCGCAAAUAAUUUAUAACUUCUAAAACAAUAUUUUUUUUCAAAUGCUUAUAACUUCAAAAUCCUAUUAAAAAAAUCAUAAUCUUUUUUACGAUUUUAAUAGAAAAAAAAUGACACCCUUAUUGAUGGAUUUGCCCACUCUUUGCAGUUAGAAUCCCUGAGUUGGUACGUACAUAUUAAAAGAAUGAAAGGCACUUCGUCCUUGCCAUUUAAACCUUGUAGAUGGAAUAUCACCAGAAUAAUUCCAUGGAUGGUGAGUACCGGGCUGGAUCAAUAUUGGGACAAGAAACGUUUUAAGUCCAAAUUUCCUGCAAAAUAAUUUGUGACCUCAAUAGCAUUGUUUGAUGACGACGAAAAAAGCACAAACACCCACAGUAUGGAAACACUUUUAGCAAACAAAGACAUUGUUGCACCUCUUGUAUCAAACCCCCCCCCUUUUUUUUAUGAAGAAUCUUCUAUAUACAUAUAUUUGUGAGGGGUCUUCAAAGUUAUUAAAAUAUAUAAAUACAAUGUGAUAUGAGAAAACAAAACUUGUUCAAUGUUUACCUUAAAAUAAAAUAAAAAACAAAUUUAAUGGAGUAAUUGAUUUUGUUGAUUGGAGUGCAAAAUCCUUAAACGACUAUUAUAAAAUAACAGAGAGCUAUUUCUUUAAUUAAUUUUUUUCUAAAGUUUACAUAUUGAUUUUGUAGUUGCAUAAACAAGUGAUAUCAAUAUAAUUUAUAUCCAUUAAAUGCAUGAAUUUAAUAUUCUCAGUUCUUGUAAUUCCUAAACUUUUUUCCUGAAAAGAACAAACCCAUAUUAUUUCAUUCAUAAUAAUAGUAUCAACAUAGUUAGGAAAACUUAUGAAUAUGAUGAAUAACAUAAAAUCUCGACUUUAUUAGCUUGUCUCCGGACUAAAUUCAUCGUAGAGUUUUCAAUGAUCUGGAAUGUAACAACAUUUUCAGACAAAGUGAUACCAAAUUCUGAAAGAUUUGGAUUUUUGCAAAAGAAAGCAUCAGAAACAUGCUUACAAACUACUUCCAUAGAGGAUAAUUCAAAAUUAAUACAAAGAAAAGAAUAUCAUAAAUAUAUUACCGAAAUUUAAAAUGUGCAUUUAUCUUUCAUCUCUUGAAACUUAUGUCUGACACCAUGACACAUUAAUGGGAUUUAAGAACCAAAAUUAAUUAUUUUAAAAAUAUAAAAAAAACUAACUGGAGACACAUCAUCAUUAAAGUAGUUUCUAUUACUUUAUUAUAAUUCUUUUAAAAAUGAAAAUAUAAAAUACAUGCUGUAUUUUUUUAUACUACAAAUAAAAUGGUUUCAUAAAUUAUUUUUUUUCUAAAUUUAUCUGAACUUUUAGUAUCUAUUAAAUUUAUUACUGAAUUCAUCUCUUGAAUUUAUUUUAUUAGUAAAAUUAAUGUAAAAAAAUAAAAGAUUCAAAUAUGUAUUUUUAUAAAACUUAAAAGGUUUAAGUAUCUAUAGUUUUUGUAUCUAAAUAAAUGUCGGUAAAUGAAAACAAUUGCCCUUGAAAUACAAAGGUUGUGAUUUUUGAGCUUAAUUAGUAGACAGGGUCAUGGGGGUGAGCGGUUCCAGGGGGAAAAUGAAAAAGAAAGAAAGAAAGAGAUAUGUUGACAGGUAGAUGCUGGUAUAAUUGACACUUGUUACAUUUUAAAAGCCAGAAAUAUUAUAUUAAUAAAAAAAUAGAUAAAUUCUUAUAUUUUUAUCACAAGUUUAGGAAUUAAAUUGAUGCUUCAAUCUGAAAUGACUGAAAAUGUGACGAUAACAAAUAGCUUUAUGGAAAUAUGAACUCUAUUUCCUAAAAUUUGAAAUAACAAAUGCCAUGUAAACCAUUUUUUUAUUUUUUUUUACUACAAUCUUCCCAACCUUUGUUGGGCACUGCAAUUGAAGUAAUUUGUUAUCUUUCUCAUAGUAUAGAACCAGAAAAUAGUUCGAUGGUAUAUUCCACACCAGUGCAAGAUUCCUACUUUCCCUUUAUAUAUAUAAUUUGAGAUUAUCCUAAAUGGGUUCGGUCGGAAUGCAUUUGAUUAUGCAUGAAUGAAAAUGGGGUUAUUGCAAGAUUUGACAAGUGCCUAACGUGACUUAUCAAAACAGGCACUUUAGUGCUAAGAACAAAUUUGUAAGCAACCUUUUCUGGACGUAAUUGAUGAAAUAUUGCAACCAUAAUGUAUCCCACUGCAGUUCAGUGUCAAGAUUCUGCCUUGCAUUGUUUGAAAUAUGCCAUAAAUGUUCAUAGUCAACCUUUCUUCAUCAUAUAGGUCAAUCUUUGAAAUAUGCCAUAUUGAAGUAUAUCAUUUGCCACAGAGAAAAGUUAAGCAGCUCAGGUGAAUUCGAUAGAAACGAUUGCAUUAAAAAAUAUAAUUAAUGUUGUUACACUCUAAUGGAGUUUAUACACUCUUGAAAGAAGAGGGGGGAAAAGGUCCUAGCCAUGUGAUAAAUAACAUGUUAAAGAAAGAAUAAAAAAGGACAAUUUUUUCUACUCAAAAGACGCUCAAUCUUCAUUCUUUGAAGAAGUUGAUCUGUUGAUGCAUACUUAUUUUAAAAGCUCUCGAGUUAAUGAUUUUACUGUACAUAUAUAAGAGACCCUGAAAAUUGAUGGUCAAAAUCCUUGUGUCUUGAACAGCCAAAAAGACCUUAAUAUGGUAGUUGCUAAAAAAUGUUAUAUUAUAUAAUCACCACUUGCUGCUCAUUUUGGUCUCCCUUACGCAGUACAUACCAAAAUCUAUUAUAUGGAGAAAAACAUUUACUGAUCUGCACACAUUGCCCCAAUAUCAUAUCACAGGCACAAAUAUCCUUCAGCCACACUGAAUGGUUUAGUGACCAUGAAGAAAAAGAAUAAUUAAAAGAUUUGAUUUUUGUUUUUCAUCCAUGUCAUCCAUGCCAGAAAUUCCACUUGUUGUACCACCUCUGAAACAUGCAUCCAUUACCUUAUUUUUAAAAUACACUCAUUUCUUCCCUUCCAAAACACCAUAUAUAAAACACCACACCACAUACCAUCUAUCUCUCUUUCAUUCCCACCUAUAUAUGGUUUUGAAAUCAGCUCUCUACUUUAUUAAAAUUAUAAUUUAAAAGUCUUUUUUGUCUCUAUCAUACUUUUAAUUUGCAGAAAAGAAAAUUAUGCAAUUGGGACAGUAUAAUGAAUCUGGGUCAUUAUGGAAAAUAUUAUUUUUGUCAAGUAAAAAGUGUUUCAAAACCGUAGUAUCUCUUUUUUCGGUUAUUAGGAUUAUCAUUUUGAUGUUUACUUAAUUGAAAAAGGGCAAUCAAAACUAGGAACGUUGUUUUAAUUUUCAUAUCAUUGUUUCUCCAUAAGUCAAGAGGGUAAGAGAUGCCAAUGGUUCCAUAAUACUUUUUUUUUCUCUAACUCAUUGUUGAUAAAUUAGAUAAGGAUUCUACCUAAACCGCUUGAAAAAAAAAAUACUGCAAAAACCGCUUGAAUAUAAAAUCCCUUCUAGGCCUUAUAGCUGUCUAUAUGUAAUAUUUAAAGAUAAAAACGCCUAAUCAAACUUAUGACUAAGGUUUAGAAGUUGCCAUUUGGCUUUUCUUGAUGGAAACUCAGUCCAACUCAUUCUUGGCUAGUUAGCUGGCUAGCCUGUUUGGAUCCGGUCAGUUAGAAAGCCACACACGUGAAUAAUAUUAAAAUUGAUGAAGAAAACAUUAAUUUUGUCGAAUGCAUCAUUAUUGGAGGUUUUUAUUUAUUGGAGUGAGCUGAAUUAAUUAUUACUAGUUAUUUAUAAUUCUCAUUAUAAAUGGCAGCAAAGACCGUAUCCUAUUUUGUUUUUAGGCAAAUGUUUGGGGGCAUUAGUUAAGGAAUUAAAAAAAUUAAAGAUUGUUCUGAACUUUUUUUUAUAGAGAAAAUGAAAAAUAACUAUGUUGAAGGUACUAAGACGUGCACCCCAUUUCUCACAGUAUAGUCUGUCAGACUAUCAUUUCAUGCAGGGCUUCCUGAUGAUGAUGAACAUCGCCAAAAAUAUAUGGUUGCUUUUGUCUUGCUUAAGAUAUACUAUUAGAGUUCAGAACAAUCUUAAAUACACAAUAUGCAUUUCAAGGUUGCAUUUAUCUGUUACUUUCAAUAUCCAUUAAUAUUUAGUGGGAAGUGUUACUUACAUGAUACAAGAAAAGAUCUUUAGGAAAUCUCUAACCUAAUGGUUUAAAUAUGUUUUGUUCUGUUAUAAAUUUCUGGAUUUUGUUUUUGGUGUCUAAUAAAAAAAAAUUAAAUUUGUUUGGAUAGUGCUUUGAAAAACAAAAUAAAUUUAUUUAAAUAAUACUUUAAGGGGAAAAAAUAAACAAUUAAUUAGGAACCAAAAGUUAAAAAAAAAUAUUAUGGAACAAUAAUAAAAUUCAAAAAUUUAUAAUUAAUUGACCAAAAACAUUGCUAAGUCUAACAUUAAUUUGUCAGUGGAUGAGUUUCAAAUUUUAAAAGUAUUAUGAUUCUUUUUUAGUACACUUCAUUUUUUAACAUUCAAAACUCAAACCUGAAUUCUCUCAUUAACAAAAUUUUAGAAUUUGAAAAGCUUUGACUUACCUGUAAGCUACAUUUUUUAAAAUUCAACAUUCAAAUUGAUUUCUCUCUCUUCAUUUUGUAAAUAAAAGUAUUAAUUACAAAAUUUGAAAAGUAGUAUGACUUCUUUUGUAUAUGCUUCCUUUCUUAAAAUUCAAAUUUUAAAAUUCAAAUCGUAAUCAGUCUCCACCUAGGCCUUUAGGCUCUUGUCUAGGAAUGAAAACAUUAAUUACAAAAUUUUAAAAUUGGAAAAAGUAGUAUAAUUUCUUUUGUAUGUUCCAUUCUUUGAAAUUCAAAAUUCAAAUUGUAUUCUCUCUUCACUUUCAUGUCCUUGCAUGUAAAUGAAAGUAUUAAUUGUAAAAUUCUAAAAUUUGAAAAAUAUUAUGACUUCUUUUGUAUGCUUCAUUAUUUAAAAUUCAAAAUUCAAACUGUAAUUUUUUUUCACUUUCAUCCUCUUGUCUGUAAAUGAAAGUAUUAAUUAAUUACAAAAUUCUAAAAUUUGAAAAGUACUAUGACUUCUUCUGUAUGCUCCAUACUUCAAAAUUCAAACCUACAUCUCUCUUCACUUUAACACUUUUGUCUAUAAAUUAAAGUAUUAAUUACAAAUUUUUAAAAGUAUUAUGACUUCUUUUGUAUGGUAUUAUGGUUUCUCUAUGCACUCCAUUUUAAAAAACUCAAAUUUCAAAAUUCAAACCCUAUUUUCUCUCCACUUUCAUGCCCUUGGUUGUGAAUGAAAGUAUUAAUUGCAAAAUUUUAAAAUUUCAAAAAUAUUAUGACUUCUUUUGUACGCUUCAUUCUUUAAAAUUUAAAAUUCAAAAUGUAAUCUCCCUCCACCUUCACACUCAUGUUUGUAGAUGAAAGUAUUAAUUUGAAAAGUGUUAUGACUUCUUGAGUAUGCUUCAUUAUCUCCACUUUCACACUCUUGUCUAUAAAUGAAAGCAUUAAUUGCAAAAUUUUAAAAUUUAAAAAAUAUUAUGACUUCUUUUGUACCUCCAUUCUUUAAAAUUUAAAAUUCAAAAUGUAAUCUCCCUCCACUUUCACACUCAUGUUUGUAGAUGAAAGUAUUAAUUUGAAAAGUAUUAUGACUUCUUCUUUAUGCUUCAUUCUCUCCACUUUCACACUCUUGUUUAUAGAUGAAAACAUUAAUUACAAAAUUUUAAAAAGUAUUAUGACUUCUUUUACAUGCUCCCUUUAUUAAAAUUCAAAAUUCAAAUUGUAUUCUCUCUCCACUUUCAUGCCCUUAUUGUACAUGAAAGUAUUAAUUGUAUAAUUUUAAAAUUUAGAAAAUAUCAUGACUUCUUUUUUAUGCUCCAUCAUUUGAAAUUCAAAAUCCAAACAAUAAUCUUUCUCCACUUGCAUCCUCUUGUUUGUAGAUGAAAGUAUUAAUCAAUUACAAAAUCCUAAAAUUUGAAAAGUGUUAUGACUUCUUUCAUGUGUUCCAUUCUUUAACAUUCAAGCCGACCUCUCUCCCCACUUUAACACUUAUGUCUAUAAAUUAAAGUAUUAAUUACAACAUUUGAAAAUAUUAUGACUUCUUUGGUAUGGUACGAUGGUUUCUAUGCGCACUCCACUUUUUAAAUUUUCAAAAUUCAAACGGUAAUUUUUCUUCACUUUCAUCAUCUAUUCUAUAAAUGAAAGUAUUAAUUGCAAAAUUUUAAAUUUUGAAAAAUAUUAUGACUUCUUUUGUAUGUUUCAUUCAUGUUUUUUAUGUACCAUAUCUUUUGUAUAAUUGAGCAUUCUAUUUUAUUUCUUCUAUAUAUACUAAAACCAAGGAUUUAAAGAAAAAUAUAAAAUUUUGCAAGUGAUUUAAUUAAUUAAAUUUUUUAAUGGCACUAGUUCUUUAAUUUUAGAUAGAAAUCAAGAAUAAUAAGUUUAUAGGUCGAGUGGUCCUGAGCUCCAACCUCUUGUGGAUGAAAAAAGUGAUUUGAAAUAUAAAAAAAAACUUAUUAAAAAUUAUUAAAUUUUUCGAUGAAAAGUAAUAAUCAAUGUAUUCCGCACUCAAUGUUAUGUGAUGCGAAAAACAAUUAAAUACGAAGAGCAAUUCAUUCAUAGGAGAAAAAAAAAACUAGAAACUAUAGCAUUGAAAGGCAUGGAUAACAUUGAUGGAGCAUCUCUAAAACAAUAAUCACUAUUUAAAUGAGAUAAGAGAGUAUCAAAUAUCCAGCUACAACUUGAUUUUUGGUUCUCUCAACCAUCGUACAUUAUUUUUUCCAUUGAUAGCAAGAAUACCUACAUGGAUCGUCUUGUUUAAUAAACCAUGAGCACUUGUUGCAAUCACCAUCCCUAACUUGUACGUACAGAUCAAAUGAGUGAUGGGCACCUUCCCAUUGAAAGGAACAAUUACUGAAUAAUGGUUCCGUUCCAAAUUCGUUAUUAUAAUAAUCAGGAGAAAAGUUCCACUCGUAGUGUAAGCACCGGGGGUGAGAACGUGUGGUUGAGUAUCCAUCUUGCAGGAAACAGUUAAGUCUAGAAUUCCCAAAUCAUUUGUAACCCUAAUAUGUGCCUUCUCUGCCAUAGUAUUGUUCAACGUUGAUAAUAACAACACACCAGUAGUGUGGAAACACUUCUAGCAAAUAGCCAAAUAAAGACAUUGUUAUCUUCGAUCUGCUACUGCUUUUCCUUUUUCUUUUACUGUGAAUCUUUUCAUUACUUUAUAUAUAUAUAUAUAUAUAUAUAUAUAUAUAUAUAUAUAUAUAUAUAUAUAUAUAUAUAUAUAUAUAUAUAUAUAUAUAUAUAUAUAUAUAUAUAAAAAAAAAAAAAAAAAAAAAGAUAUAUAUAUAUAUAUAUGUGUAUAUAAAUAAAUAUAAAUAUAUAUAUAUAUAUGAAUGUAUAAUAUUCAAAGAGGCCUGUUUAUAAUUAAAAUACAUAAAUAUUAAGCAAACUAAAAAAUAUUUAAAUGUUCAGUCAAACUAAUAUUAGUAUAUAUUAAUUUUUGGUUGUUGCAAAAAUAAUAUUAAUUUUCGGUUGAAUUACUUUUUUAUCCCUUAAUUAAUUUAUCAGGAUUUUUUUUUAAAAUCAAUUAUUGUAAAAAAAUAUCAAUUAAGGAUCAUUUCCUUUUAUUUUCAAUGAGAAAGGCUUGGAGAGUAUGUUAUUAUAGAAUCUGAACCUAUUCUGAUUCUCAUUAAUAUAAUUUGCACGCAUAUAUAUAUAUAUAUAUAUAUAUAUAUAUAUAUAUAUAUAUGCUUUGACAGUAAUUUUCAAAUAACUCCUACAAUUUCUCAUACAAAAUUCCUAAAUAGCCAAAUCAAAGAUAUGGAUCAUUCCCUAUUUCCAAAAUAUCCUUAAUUAGGAACACCUAUCCCAAAUAUCACAAUUAAAUACAAUUUCGGUCAUCGUGUUGAUUAUAAUCUCAAAAAUCGGUUAGAGCAGUACAAAUCUUGCAAUUUUUUUAAAAAAGGAUACAAAUCUUUAAAAUAUUAGAGACAAAUUUUACAAAUAUCACAUUAGUUAUCACUGGUUAACAUGCAGACGCAUUUAGCAAAAAAUAAUUGAAUGAAGAAACAUUUUUGUAUUAGGUCUAAUUAAAAACAAUCAUGAAAAUAUAAUGAUUAAAAAUAACAACACAAAAAGUCAACAUCUUAAUGUUGGUAAAACAAUAUUAACUAUUUUUUAGAAUUAUUAUUUAAAGUCUUGUUAUUAAAGGUUUUUAAAGUAUUAAUGGGAAAUGAAUCACUAGCUAGUAAGUUUUAUUAAAAAUAUGUUCAAAUUAUAUUUUAAAAAAUUAUAGAUAUUCUUUUAUAAAUUUUUUUUUUAAUUUUUUAAUUAGUUUUUUCAAAGAUAUUUACUAACAUUCUUCCUUAUUAAUUUAGUUAUAAAUACCUUUGAAUGACAUUUUCCCUCAAAAAAUAUAUAUAUUUAAAUGACAUUAAUUUUUUUCUUUAUUUUUAAAAUUGUUGUAAAGGUUGAAUAUGAGCUGUUUUUCAAAAUAUCGUUGAAUGACAUAAAUAUUUUUCUUUAUUUUAACAAAUGAAGGUUGAAUGAGUUUUAUUUUUUAUCCCAAGUCAUAUUUAUAUAUUUUAACAUAAAGAUCAACACAGUUAGAGAAAGUGUGUGAGAAGAAAGAUUGUAAAAUAAAGUCAUUUUAUUAAGAGAAAAGUUUUGUGAGAAUAUUAUCAUUUUUUGUAACCAUUGAGUGAAGUAAAAUACUUUUUGAGACGAUUAUGUGAAUAUAAAUAAGAAGUGUUGAAUCACGUUAAAUUAUUGUGUUUAUUAUUAUUUUUUUAUGGUAUAAUCUUUGUUGUCUUCUUACUAUUUUUCGUAAGUGUGAGUAUUUUUGUUGGUAAGGACGUUGAUUUCCCGAUAGAAACCACAUUAAAAAUAAUAAUUAUAUAUCCAUAGGAAAAAAAAAAGAAGAAAAAAAGUCAUUCAACUAGCUAUUCACUCAAACCUUUAUUUCUCAUGAAAUUUUCAUUCUUUCCUAAUGUCAGAAACAUACUCAAUUUUAUAAUGAAAUCAAAAGUAAUUCUCUAGCAUACAGAAAGCUUGAACUCAAUUUUCAAAGCAAUGAUGAAUAAUAUUAACCCAAAUAGAGAUCACUCUUUUAUUUAGAAGAUAUAAGAGGGAAAUAUCUUGUUACAACUAAGUUCUCAACCCUACAUGCAUGUAGAAUUUAAGAACAUGUGUUAAGAUAAAAACAUAUUUUAAAACUAAUUAUAGCAAGCAAAUUCCUGGUUGGGAAAACGAAACCUACAUGGUCCCUUUUCUCUUAUAUGCCAUUUGCACUCUUCGCAAUCAGAAUCUCGAGUUGGAUCAUACAUAUCAAAGGUGUGAGCAGCACCUUCCCAUGCAAAGAAGCAAAGGAAUGGUCGAAGUGUAGGUGUAAUAUCACCAGAAUAACCAAAUAGAUGUUGGUCACCAGGGCGAAGAUGAAUAUACGGGUGCAGCAGUUUAGGAUAAAAAUAGGGACAAUAAAUGGUUAAAUUCAAACUUCCAUUAUCCAAAUUAUUUGUAACUACAACCAUUUUCACGUACACCCCCACAGCACUGCUUUUUGGUGACAAAAAAAGGAUAAGCAACCAUAGUAAUGAUAGUAUGGAGGCAAAGAAAGACAUAAUCCUUUUUUCUUGAAGAUAUAAGAUAAAUGUGUGUUUGUGAGAGGUUUUUAUAGUUAAAAUACAUGAUGAGAUUCGAAAGAAAAAAAAACAAAACUAUUCAACGUUUACAUUUGUUACAAUAAAGAAAAAAGUUAAUGUAUUGAAUGAUAGUUUUAAAAACAACUGAUUACCUUAACAGCAGAUUUAAAAAUAAAGAAAAAUUAAUACCGUUCAAAGAUAUUUCAUGAUAUAUUUUGAAAAAAUAAUUUAUUAUGACUCUUUUCAAUAAGAUCUUAUAAAAUAAUUCAAAAUUGUUUUUUCAAUAUAUGUAAUUAUGUCAAUAAAUAUUUAUGUUCUUAAUGCUCCGUAAUAUUCCCAUGACAUAUUUUAAUAUAAUAGACAAAUUUGUUAAGAUAAUUAAAUCAAUUUUCUCACAACAACUAACCAGUGACUCUGGUAGGGAUGGCUUCUACCAAUUCAUCUCAUGCUUUUUAUUCUCAGUGUUGUCGCUAUAUGUUUAUGAAUGCUAUUGAAUCCUUUCACUCUGUCACUUUACCGUCUGCGAAUGAUGCCACCGAUGCUGACCCACCUCCAUUGACCGCGGAUACUCCAUCGCGGUUUGCUCGAUUGUUCACCAAAACAUCUUUUCAGGCAACCAUGAAUGAUGUUUUGAGGCCAUUCUUGUGCAAAUUUAUCCUUGUAUUCUGAUAUAUAGCCUUCAUUGGCACACCCAUUUUUAUCUCAAAUCUGCCAAAUGUGACUUUGGUAUUUACACAUGCAGUAGCAUACUUGGGGCAUAUCAUAUAUAUCUCAGUCUGGCGUUGCAGCUGACCCUGAGAAGCUUUUGGGGUAUGAAUAUGAAAUCCUUUACAUUCUGGGGCGUGCCAAUGCAUUAUCACGUGAUGGAUGGCACAGGAUAUAUGUCAAGACAUUUGUGCAAGUCAAAAUAUUAAAUUAAAAAUGAAAGCAAACUAAAUUUAUUAGUAAUUAAUAAAAAAUUAUUUAUGAUUUUGAACUCAUAAAUAAUUUAUAACUUCUUAAACAAAAAUAUAUAUUUUUUCAAAUACUUAUUACUUCAAAAUCAUAUUUAAAAAAAUCAUAAAAAUUUUUACGAUUUUAAUAGGAAAAAAAAUUAUAUUUAUAAAAAAAUUAUGAUUUUUUACUCAAAAUCUUAUCCUAUAACUUUUUUUUCAAAAUUAAUUUAAAUUUUAUUUUUAUUUGAUAAUUUAGAAAAAAAAACUACACACUUAUUGAUGGAUUUGUCCACUCUUUGCAAUUAGAAUCCUGAGUUGGAACGUACAUAUUAAAAGAAUGAAAGGCACGUCGUCCUUGCCAUUUAAACCUUGUAGAUGGAAUAUCACCACAAUAAUUCCAUAGAUGGUGAGUACCGGGUUGGAUCAAUAUUGGGACAAGAAACGGUAAUCUUUCUCCAUUUUUAAAAUUUUUAAAUUUUAAGUAUCUAUAGUUUUUGUAUCUAUAACUUUUAAUAUAUACGGAUUAAAUAAUUCGUAUGAUUUAUAUUAAAAUUAAUUAUCACAAAAUUUAUUAUUUAAAUUUACAUGCGUAUUAAAUAAGAAACUUAUGAAAGAAUUUCUUCCAUAAAAUAUAAAAAACUUACGAAAUAAGUGAGGGGGCAAAAUUGAACAAAAUGUAAAAUAUUGGAUGCAUAGUAAUAUUGUCACCAGUAAUAUUGUUGGGUGUACUUACCAACAUUCUUCUGAUUUUUUAACUUAAUUAGUAGACACCCGACUCACCGGAGGUGAGCGUUUCCAGGAAAAAUGAAAAAGAAAGAAAGAAAAAGAUAUGUUGACAGGUAGAUGCUGGUAUAAUUGACACUUGUUACAUUUUAAAAGCCAGAAAUAUUAUACUAAUAAAAAAUAGAUAAAUUUUUAUAUUUUAAUCACAAUUUUAGGAAUUAAAUUGAUACUUCAAUCUGAAAUUACCGAAAAUGUGACGAUAACAAAUAGCUUUAUGGAAAUAUGAACUCUAUUUCCUAAAAUUUGAAAUAACGAAAGCCAUGUAAACCUUUUUUUUUUUGUAUUUUACUACAAUCUUCCAAACCUUUGUUGGGCACUGCAAUUGAAGUAAUUUGUUAUCUUUCUCAUAGUAUAGAACCAGAAAAUAGUUCGAUGGUAUAUUCCACACCAGUGCAAGAUUCCUACUUUCCUUUUAUAUAUAUAAUUUGAGAUUAUCCUAAAUGGGUUCGGUCGCAAUGCAUUUGAUUAUGCAUGAAUGAAAAUGGGGUUAUUGCAAGAUUUGACUAGUGCCUAACGUGACUAAUCAAAACAGGCACUUUAGUGCUAUGAACAAAUUUGUAAGCAACCUUUUCUGGACGUAAUUGAUGCAAUGCAACCAUAAUGUAUCCCAGUGCAGUUUAGUGCCAAGAUUCUGCCUUGCAUUGUUUGAAAUAUGCAAUAAAUUAAUGUUCAUAGUCAAUCUUUCUUCAUCAUAUAGGUCAAUCUUUGAAAUAUGCCAUAUUAUCAUUUGCCACAGAGAAAAGUUAAGCAGCUCUGUUGAAUUCGAUAGAAACGAUUGUAUUAAAAAAAUAUAAUUAAUGUUGUUACACUCUAAUGGAGUUUAUACACUUUUGAAAGAAGAGGGGAAAAGUUCCUAGCCAUGUGAUAAAUAACAUGUUAAAGAAAGAAAGAAAAAAAAAAGGAUAAUUUUUUCUACUCAAAAGACGCUUAAUCUUCAUUCUUUGAAAAAGUUGAUCUGUUGAUGCAUACUUAUUUCAAAAACUCUCGAGUUAAUAAUUUCACUGUACAUAUAUAAGAGAUCCUGAAAAUUGAAGAUCAAAAUCCUUGUGUCUUUAAUUAUGGUAGUUACUAAAAAAUGUUAUAUUUCUCUACGUUGUUUUAAUCGAAAUCACUCUCUUAUUAAUUCAAACAACAGAGGUGUGCAUGCUUCAUACGUAAUCACCACUUUUUGCUGCUCACUUUGGUCUCCCUUACGAAGUACAUACCAAAAUCUAUUAUAUAUAUAUAUGGAGAAAAACAUUUACUGAUCUGCACACAUUACCCCAAUAUCAUAUCACAGGCACAAAUGUCCUUCAGCAACACUAAAUGGUUUAGUGACCAUGAAGAAAAAGAAUAAUUAAAAGAUUUAUUUUUGUCUUUCAUCCAUGCCAGAAAUUCCACUUGUUGUACCACCUCUGAAACAUGCAUCCAUUACCUUAUUUUUAAAAUACACUCAUUUCUAGCUUCCCUUCCAAAACACCAUAUAUAAAACACCACACCACAUACCAUCUAUCUCUCUUUCAUUAAUCCCACCUAUAUAUGGUUUUGAAAUUAGCUCUCUACUUUAUUAAAAUUAUAAUUUUAAAGUCUCUUUUGUCUCUCUAUCAUACUUUUAAUUAGCAGAAAAGAAAAUUAUGCAAUUGGGACAGUAAUGAAUCUGGGCCAUUAUGGAAAAUCUUAUUUUUGUCAAGUAAAAAGUGUUUCAAAACCGUAGUAUAUAUCUCUUUUUCCGGUUAUUAAUUAGGAUUAUCAUUUUGAUGUCUACUUAAUUGAAAAAGGGCAAUCAAAACUAGGAACGUUGUUUUAAUAUCCAUAUCAUUGUUUCUCCAUAAGUCAAUGUGUAAGAGAUGCCAAUGGUUCCAUAAUAUAUACUUUUUUUUUCUCAAACUCAUUGUUGACAAAUUAGACAAGGAUCCACCUAAACCGCUUGAAAAAAAAAAUACUGCAAAAACCGCUUGAAUAUAAAAUCCCUUCUAGGCCUUAUAGCUGUCUAUAUGUAGUAUUUAAAGAUAAAAACGCCUAAUCAAACUUAUGACUAAGGUUUAGAAGUUGCCAUUUGGCUUUUCUUGAUGGAAACUCAGUACAACUCAUUCAUGGGUAGUUAGCUGGCUAGCCUGUUUGGAUCCGGUCAGUUAGAAAGCCACACACGUGAGUAAUAUUAUAAUUGAUGAAGAAAACAUUAAUUUUUUCAAAUGCAUCAUUAUUAUUGGAGGUUUUUUUUUUUGGAGUGAUCGAGCUGAAUUAAUUAUAACUAGUUGUUUGAUUCUCAUUAUAAAUGGCAGCAAAGACCGUAUCCUAUUUUUUUUAGGCAAAUGUUUGGGGGCAUUAGUUGAAGAAUUAAAAAAAUUAAAGAUUGCUCUGAACUUUUUUUUUAUAGAGAAAAUGAAAAAUAAUUCUGUUGAAGGUACUAAGACGUGCUCCCCAUUUCUCACAGUAUAGUCUGUCAGACUAUCAUUUCAUGCAUGGCUUCCUGAUGAUGCUGAACAUCGCCAAAAAUACAUAUAUGGUUGCUUUUGUCUUGCUUAUACUAUUAGAGUUCAGAACAAUCUUAAAUACAUGAUAUGCAUUUCAAGGUUGCAUUUACCUGUUACUUUCAAUAUCCAUUAAUAUUUAGUGGAAAUUAUACAAGAAAAGAUCUUUAGGAAAUCUCUAACGUAAUGGUUUAAAUAUGUUUUGUUCUGUUAUAAAUUUCUGGAUUUUGUUUUUGUGUCUAAUAAAAGAAUUUAAAUUUGAAUGGAUAGUGCUUUGAAAAACAAAAUAAAUUUAUUUAAAUAAUACUUUAAGGGGAAAAAUAAACAAUUAAUUAGGAACCAAAGUAAAAAAAAUAUUAUGUAACAAUAAUAAAAUUCAAAAAUUUAUAAUUGACCAAAAACAUACCUAAAUCUAACAUUAAUUUGUCUGUGGAUGAGUUUCAAAUUUUAAAAGAAUUAUGACUUCUUUUUUAGUACACUUCAUUUUUUUUAGCAUUCAAAAUUCAAAUCGAAUUCUCUCACACUUUUGUUAAUAACAAAAUUUUAAAAUUUGAAAAGUAUUCACAUAUACUAUAAGCUACAUUUUUUAAAAUUCAAAAUUUAAACAUACUUCUAUCCCUUAAUAUAAAAUUCAAAGUAUUAAUUACAAUAUUUGAAAAGUAGUAUGACUUCAUUUAUAUAGUAUUAUGGUUUCUUUCAUAUACUAAUUAUAAAAUAUUAAUUAUAAAAUUUUAAAAUUUGUAAAAGCAGUAUAAUUUUUGUUGUACACUCCAUUUUUUUAAUUUAAAAUUCAAAUUGUAUUUUGUCUUCACUUUCAUGUUCUUGUAUGUAAAUGAAAAUAUUAAUUGUAAAAGUUUAAAAUUUGAAAAAUAUUAUGACUUCUUUUAUAUGCUCCACUUUAAAAUUCAAAAUUUAAACAGUAAUUUUUCUUCACUUUCAUCCUUUUAUCUGUAAAUGAAAGUAUUACUUAAUUACAAAAUUUUAAAUUUUGAAAAGUGUUACGACUUCUUCGGUAUGUUCCUUUAAAAAUCAAAUGACCUCUCUAAUCACUUAAAUGACCUCUCUAAUCACUUUAACACUCUUAUCUAUGGAUUAAAGUAUUAAUUACAAAUUUUGAAAAAUAUUAUGACUUCUUUUGUAUGGUAUCAUGAUUUCUUUAUGCACUUCAUUUUUUAAAAUUUAAAUUUCAAAAUUCAAAUCAUAUUCUCUCUUCACUUUCAUACCCUUGUUUGUGAAUGAAAGUAUUAAUGGUAAAAUUUUAAAAUUUUAAAAAUAUUACCACUUCUUUUGUACAUUUCAUUCUUUAAAAUUUAAAAUUCAAAAUGUAAUCUCCCUCCACUAUGUUUGUAGAUGAAAGUAUUAAUUAUAAAAUUCUAAAAUUUGAAAAGUGGUAUGACUUCUUCAUUAAGUUUCGUUCUUUCCACUUUCACACUCUUGACUAUAAAUAAAAACAUUAAUUACAAAAUUUUAAAAAGUAUUAUGCCUUCUUUUCUAACUUUCAUAUUUUAAAAUUAAAAAUUUAAAUUGUAUUCUUUCUUCACUUUCAUGUCCUUUUGUAUAUAAAUGAAAGUAUUAAUUGUAAAAUUUUAAAAUUUGAAAAAUAUUACGAAUUCUUUUGUGUGCUCUCCUUUAAAAUUCAAAAUUUAAAUUGUAAUUUUUAUUCACUUUCAUCCUCUUGUCAAUGGAAGAAAGUAUUAAUUAAUUACAAAAUUUUAAAAUUUGAAAAGUGCCACUGCUUCUUUUUUUAUGUGUUCCAUACUUUAAAAUUCAAAUUGUCUCUCUAUUCAAACUUAUCAAACAGUAAUCUUUCUCCACUUGCAUCCUCUUAUUUGUAAAUCAAAGUAUUAAUUAAUUAAUAAAUCCUAAAAUUUGAAAAGUGUUAUGGCUUCUUCCAUGUGUUCCAUUCUUUAACAUUCAAGCUGACCUUUCUCUCUCUCUACUUUAACACUAUUUUUGCACAUGAAAGCAUUAAUUACAAAAUUCUAAAAUUUGAAAAGUGUUAUGGCUUCUUUAUGCUUCAUUUUGUCCACUUUCACACUCUUGUCUAUAAAUGAAAGUAUUAAUUAUAAAAUUUUAAAAAUUAUUAUGACCUCUUUUGUGUGGUCCAUUUUUUAAAAUUCAAAAUUCAAUUUGUAUUCUCUCUCCACUUUCAUGUCCUUGUAUGUAAAUGAAAGUAUUAAUGGUAAAAUUCUAAAUUUUUAAAAAUAUCAUGACUUCUUUUUUAUGCUCCAUCGUUUGAAAUUCAAAAUUCAAACAGUAAUCUUUCUCCACUUGCAUCCUCUCGUUUGUACAUGAAAGUAUUAAUUACUUACAAAAUCCUAAAAUUUGAAAAGUGUUAUGGCUUCUUGCAUGUGUUCCAUUCUUUAACAUUCAAGCCGACCUCUCUCUCCACUUUAACACUUUUGUCUAUAAAUUAAAGUAUUAAUUAUAACAUUUGAAAAUAUUAUGACUUCUUUUGUAUGGUAUGAUGGUUUCUUUGUGCACUCCACUUUUUAAAUUUUCAAAAUUCAAACUCUAUUUUUUCGUCACUUUCAUCAUCUUGUCUAUAAAUGAAAGUAUUAAUUGCAAAAUUUUAAAUUUUGAAAAAUAUUGCGACUUCUUUUGUAGGUUCCAUUCGUGUGUUUUUAUGCACCAUAUUUUUUUAUACAAUUGAGCAUUCUUUUGUAUAUCUUCUAUGAGUAAAUAGGCAUUUUGGUCCAUGACUUUUGACUCAUUUUGUAAAUUAGUCCCUAUCUUUUUUAAAUGUAAAAAUAAUCUCUAUCUUUGUAUAAGUUUUGCAAAAUAGUCUUUGCCAAAUUUGAAAGUAAUGUCGUUAGUGAGGUGUAUUGUUGGUAAUUUUAGUGCCACAUAGAUUAUCCAACGUGUUACAAAUUAUCCCAAAUUAUGACACAAAGAGUCUUCACAAAGAACCCACAAUUUGUGCCAAACAACAUUAAGUAUGAAAGAACAAGAAGAGGAACAAUAACAACCAAGCAUAAUUUUCAAAGGAAAAUAUAAAAUUUUGCAAGUGAUUUAACUAAUUAAAUUUUUUAAUGGCACUAGUUCUUUAAUUUUAGAUAAAAAUCAAGAAUAAUAAGUUUAUAGGUCGAGUGGUCCUGAGCUCCAACCUUUUGUGGAUGAAAAAAGUGAUUUGAAAUAAAAAAAAUUUAUUAAAAACUAUUAGAUUUUUCGAUGAAAAGUAAUAAUCAACGUAUUCUGCACUCAAUGUUAUGUGAUGCUAAAAACAAAGAAAUACCAAGAGCAAUUCAUUCAUAAGAGAAAAAAACUAGAAAUUAUAGCAUUGAAAAGCAUGGAUAACAUUGAUGGAGCAUCUCUAAAACAAGAAUCACUCUCUAUUUAAAUGAGAUAAGAGAGAAUCAAACAUGUCACUGGGGAUCUAGAAACUGAGUUUGAUACCCAUGUUUUUCUCUUAAAGGGACUUCCAAGAACCAACCCUAUUAGUAUAUUAGGUAUGUAUUAUUCUAAUAUUCUAUUUUACAUGUUUAUAUAUAUGCCAAACUUCAUUAAUUGUUUGUUUGCAUGUCACAAUGAUACACGUAGCAUAUGUAAUAAUUAUACUUUAGUGAAUGAAAAUCACAUUAUGCUAAUACGGUUCUCUGAAAAUCAUUUUAGAUGUCAACAUUCUACACGAUUUUUGAUGANNNNNNNNNNNNNNNNNNNNNNNNNNNNNNNNNNNNNNNNNNNNNNNNNNNNNNNNNNNNNNNNNNNNNNNNNNNNNNNNNNNNNNNNNNNNNNNNNNNNUUUUUGGAUAAUAAACGUCUUAGGAUGAUAUUGUUUUUCUAAAACGGUUAUCCAUGGAACCAUCGUAGAAAAUAUAGACUUUUAACGACGUUGACUAUGAUGACGAAUAAUAACAGAUGUAGAAAAUGUAAAUUUACCCGACAUAAAAAGUGUUUUUCGUAGUAGUAUACUAAAUACUUCAAGACCUUAUUAAUUGAAAUUUAAAUGAUAACUUAAAAAGUAAUAUUGUUACAUUCUCUUACAAAAUGUCCUUAUGCUUUAAAGAUAUUAUUAAAUUUCAACUAAAAUGUCCUUAUGAGUGCCUACUUUUGAUCCCAACAUUGCUAAUAGUUGAUAGUAAAUAAGAGUAUAUUUAAGAAGAAGAAAAACAUUAAUUAAUUAAACAUUAUAACAACAAUUGUUUUGAGUAAAAUAAAAAGUAAAAAACUAAAAUCAAAGUUAUAAAAUUUGGUUCGAGCAUUGAUUCGGUUGAGGUAAUGGUAAUGGAUUAGUAGUCCAAUUGGUGGAUCAGUACUUGAAUCGGUUUGAUCCAGUAUAUAUUAAAAUAUUCAAAAUUAUAUAUUUAUCUACUAUAUAAAAGUAUAUAACUAUCAUUAUUUGAUUAAGAAAAGUUUAUUCAUAUUUUAAAAUCCAAAAUAACAAUUAAAGUAUUAAAGUAAAUGUGCAAAUUUUUGCAUUAUCAACUAAUAAGAAGUUAUGAAUCAAAUAACUUUAAAGAUAAUUGUUGUGUAAGUUAAUAAACUUUCUACCAUCAAAGUUUUUUUAUUGAAUGAUAGUAUAAUUUUUUUUUUACUUCAAAGUAUGUAAAAUUAGAUGUUAUUUUAUAAAAUCAACUGAGAUACUAAAUAUUUUUUCUAUAAAAUAUCUUUUUGGUGUAAGUAGUUGUUAUUUUGUAGCAAACAAGAAAAAAAAUCUAAUUAAUAAGAUAGAUAAAAGAUAUAUAAAGAAGUUACAUAUUCCCUUUGUUUCAUUAAAAUUGUUAUGCUAACUAGGUUAUUGAGAAAUGUUAAUACUAUUCUCUAUGUGAUUGGUUGAAAUUUAUUGAAAAUAAUAAAUUUUGGUCGGUUUUACAUCUAAAUCAGGAAAAAGAAUCAUUAAAUAAGAUAUAAGAUCCAUCAAAAUUAAUGAUUUUUAAUAAAUUUUAAAUAAAAAAUAUUAGAAGAGUGUAACUAAUAUUUUUCAAAUUAACAAAAAAUGAAGAUACUCCCUUUGUCACAUUAUAAUGUCAUCAAAGGAACCUAGAAAAAUCAAUAAAUGUAUCAAUUUAUAUAUGAUUUUUUUUAAAAAUUUUAACUUGUUAAUUUUGUUAGAAAUGAUAGUUGGAGGACUUAACCCGCAACCUCUUUCCCCCUUUUCUCUUCCCCAAGAGGUGAACUAACAUUAUAUCUCCAUCAUUGUAAAUGAUAUAAUUUUUAAAAAUUAAUUAAUAUUACAUUGAAAGACUAAAAUAAUAAAUAUUUUAAGACUUAUUUUUUCUUCUUACUCCACAUAUAUUAUGGGAUGAAUGAAGUAUCAUUUUUAUAAUAUUAAUUUUAUUAUCAUUAAUUCAUUUUUUUAAUUUUUGUUGUUCAUAACUAAUACUCUCUCUGUUUCAGAUUAUUAAUGUUUGAGGUUUUGACACACAUAUUAAAGAAUGUAAUUGAUUUGUUGACUUUCAAAGAAAAUAAUAGAUAACUUUCUAAUAUACUCUUUGUAUAUCUAAUUAAUCACUUGUUUACUAUUCAAAUACACUACUCCCAUUAAAUAUUGAUUAAGAAUAGUCUUAAAAAAAUAUUGAUUCAUUAUUGAUUUUGUAAAAUAACAUUCAUUUUAAAAUAUUUUUUAUUUAAAAUGUUAUAUAAUAUGGAACAAAUAGAAUAUUAUAAGAAAUAUAAAUGAAAAAAAUAACUAAUGUUAGAUUGAUAAAUUAAGAUAGCAAUUAUUAGUUUCAGAGUUUAUCUUUUACUACACAAUAAUUAUUGUGAAAGUAAUAUAUUUAUGAAAUUAAAAAUUAUAAAUAAUUUUUUUCAUAUUUGUACCAAAAAAUUUAUAUGUCAUACAAAAUAAAAGAGACUAAUUCCACAAUGUCAUUUAAUUUGGUCAAUAAGUGACAUCAAUAUCAUUUAUCUCCAUUAAAUGCAUAAUAUUAAUGUUUCCAUUAUAACACUUCUUUAAUUUUUUGGAAAUAAGUAGCAUCAGAAUCAUUUAUACCCAUUAAAUGAAUAUAUUUAAUGUUUCCAUUGUAACGCUUCUUUUCCAAUACAAUCAAGAGAAUUGUAAAGAUAAAUGGAGAUCUAUAGUCGUUAAAGGCAGGAAUUUUAUAAAUAAAUAAAAUAUAUUCUGUUUAAUCAAUUGAAAAAUCUACAUACAUGAUUAAUAUAAAAUAUUUUAAACCGGUGUUUAGGGUUUAUUACAUAUUAAUAAUAAAUAAGAAGACAAGGAAAAAUUAUUAAAUCAUAUGAAAAAUGUAUAAAAAUAUUUUAUAUGUAUAUAAGUUAAAUUAAAUUAUUUUAAAAAUAUCAUUAACACAUUUUAUCUAUAAUUUUAGUGCAAUCUUAUUAUAAUUAUAAUAAUACCUUAUUAAUUUUUAAUUAAUUAUUCCAAGACUCAUUGACAAAACCUUCCAAAAUAAUUUAAAUAUAAUUAAUAUUUGAUUACCCUCCUUUACAUGUUGACUUUAUGGUUGCAUGACAUCACUUUGAUGACCAGUAACAUUAACAACAUUUAAAUGCAUAAUUUUAACGUUUUAACAUUUUUUUUAUCAUAAUUUCUAUCUUUACCAGAAUCCUAUUAUAAUUAUAAUAAUAAUUUAUUAAUUUUUAAUUAAUUAUUUCAAGACUCAUUGACAAAACCUUACAAAAUAAUUCAGAUAUAAUUAAUAUUUGAUUACCAUCCUUAUCAGAAUCCUAUUAUAAUUAUAAUAAUAACUUAUUAAUUUUUAAUAGACUCAUUGACAAAACCUUACAAAAUAAUUCAAAUAUAAUUAAUAUUUGAUUACCAUCCUUUACAUGUUGACUUUAUGGUUGCAUGACAUCACUUUGAUGACCAGUGACAUUAACAACAUUUAAAUGCAUGAUUUUAAUGUUUUAACACUUUUUUUUUUAUCAGAAUUGCUAUCUUUACCCAAAAAAAAGUGUUUUGCACGAAUAGUAUGAAUGGACACGUGUAAUUUUUUAAUGAUAGCAAUGAGUAAUUAAUUGUAUUUAUCGAAAAUCAAGUGGUUAAUACUACCAAUCAAAACUAUUCAUGUGUCCCCUUCACACACAAAAAAAAUAUUCAUGUUUUCUUUUGUAUAUCUUCUAUACAUACUAAAACCAGGUAUUUAAAGGAAAAUAUAAAAUUUUGCAAGUGAUUUAAUUAAUUAAAUUUUUUAAUGGCACUAGUUCUUUAAUUUUAGAUAGAAAUCAAGAAUAAUAAAUUUAUAGGUGGACUGAUCUUGAACUCCAUUCUCUUCGGGAUGAAAAAAGUGAUUUGAAAUAUAAAAAAGAAAAACUUAUUAAAAACUAUUAAAUUUUCCGACGAAAAGUAAUAAUCAACAUAUUUUACACUCAAUGUUAUGUGAUGCUAAAUCACUCUUUAUUUAAAAUAGAUAAGAGAGGAUAAAAUAUCCAGCUACAACUUGAUUUUUGGAUCUGAAACAUCGUACAUUUAAGUUUUCCAUUGAUAGCAAGCAAACCUUAAAUUACCCGUAUACCUACAUGCAGCGUCUAGUUUAAUAUGCCAUGAGCAAUUGUUGCAAUCACCAUCCCUAACAAGUACGUAGAGAUCAAAUGAGUGAUGGGCACCUUCCCAUUGAAAGGAACAAUUACUGAAUAAUGGUUCCGUUCCAAAUUCGUCAUUAUAUUCAGGAGAAAACUUCCACUCAUAGUAAUCAGUGGGGCCGAGAAGGUGUGGAUGAUUAUCAAUCUUGCAGGAAACAGUUAAGUUUCGACUUCCCAAAUUAUUUGUAACCCCAAUAAGUGCCUUCUCUGCCAUAGUAUUGUUCAACGUUGGUAAUAACAAUAUAAGCACCAGUAGUGUGGAAACACUUCUAGCAAAUAAAGACAUUGUUAUCUUCGAUCUGCUACUGCUUUUUCUUUUUCUUCAAAUGUGAAUCUUUUCAUUACUUCAUAUAUAUAUAUAUACACGCUACGAGUAAAAA
RNAcentral lists this long non-coding RNA (26995 nucleotides) under Glycine max (soybean). RNAcentral's name for it is "long non-coding RNA (GMAX_LNC004222)". The record is from RNAcentral. Lineage: Eukaryota; Viridiplantae; Streptophyta; Magnoliopsida; Fabales; Fabaceae.